RNAcentral lists this unclassified non-coding RNA (508 nucleotides) under uncultured Glomus. RNAcentral describes it as "SSU rRNA". It matches the Rfam family "Eukaryotic small subunit ribosomal RNA", at positions 569 to 1083 of the family's 1831-position model. The record is from RNAcentral. Lineage: Eukaryota; Fungi; Glomeromycota; Glomeromycetes; Glomerales; Glomeraceae.
AGCAGCCGCGGUAAUUCCAGCUCCAAUAGCGUAUAUUAAAGUUGUUGCAGUUAAAAAGCUCGUAGUUGAAUUUCGGGGUUAGCAGGUCGGUCGUGCCAUCGGUAUGAACUGGUCUCGCUGAUCCCUCCCUCUUGACGAACUGUGAUGCCAUUAAUUUGGUGUCGCAGGGAAUCAGGACUGUUACUUUGAAAAAUUAGAGUGUUUAAAGCAGGCUCACGCUUGAAUACAUUAGCAUGGAAUAAUGAAAUAGGACGUUUGAUCCUAUUUUGUUGGCUUCUAGGAUUGACGUAAUGAUUAAUAGGGAUAGUUGGGGGCAUUAGUAUUCAAUUGUCAGAGGUGAAAUUCUUGGAUUUAUUGAAGACUAACUACUGCGAAAGCAUUUGCCAAGGAUGUUUUCAUUAAUCAAGAACGAAAGUUAGGGGAUCGAAGACGAUCAGAUACCGUCGUAGUCUUAACCAUAAACUAUGCCGACUAGGGAUCGGAUGAUGUUAAUUUUUAAUGUACUCUA